Molecule: ribosomal RNA, 468 nt
Filed under: uncultured bacterium
Lineage: Bacteria
Description: partial 16S ribosomal RNA
Rfam family: Bacterial small subunit ribosomal RNA
Source: RNAcentral
GACGAACGCUGGCGGCGUGCUUAACACAUGCAAGUCGAACGGAAAGGCCCUGCUUUUGUGGGGUGCUCGAGUGGCGAACGGGUGAGUAACACGUGAGUAACCUGCCCUUGACUUUGGGAUAACUUCAGGAAACUGGGGCUAAUACCGGAUAGGAGCUCCUGCUCCAUGGGGGGGGUUGGAAAGUUUCGGCGGUUGGGGAUGGACUCGCGGCUUAUCAGCUUGUUGGUGGGGUAGUGGCUUACCAAGGCUUUGACGGGUAGCCGGCCUGAGAGGGUGACCGGCCACAUUGGGACUGAGAUACGGCCCAGACUCCUACGGGAGGCAGCAGUGGGGAAUAUUGCACAAUGGGCGGAAGCCUGAUGCAGCAACGCCGCGUGCGGGAUGACGGCCUUCGGGUUGUAAACCGCUUUCGCCUGUGACGAAGCGUGAGUGACGGUAAUGGGUAAAGAAGCACCGGCUAACUACGUG